RNAcentral lists this ribosomal RNA (264 nucleotides) under Microbacteriaceae bacterium ISO144_OTU2509. RNAcentral describes it as "partial 16S ribosomal RNA". It matches the Rfam family "Bacterial small subunit ribosomal RNA", at positions 29 to 289 of the family's 1533-position model. RNAcentral also lists the same sequence under 3 other names. Lineage: Bacteria; Bacillati; Actinomycetota; Actinomycetes; Micrococcales; Microbacteriaceae. The record is from RNAcentral.
ACGAACGCUGGCGGCGUGCUUAACACAUGCAAGUCGAACGGUGAACUUGGGAGCUUGCUUCCGGGGGAUCAGUGGCGAACGGGUGAGUAACACGUGAGCAAUCUGCCCUUGACUCUGGGAUAAGCGUUGGAAACGACGUCUAAUACCGGAUACGAACUUCAGCCGCAUGGCUAGGAGUUGGAAAGAAUUUUGGUCAAGGAUGAGCUCGCGGCCUAUCAGCUUGUUGGUGAGGUAAUGGCUCACCAAGGCGACGACGGGUAGCCG